CUGCCCGGACCGCCCGAACCGCCGCGGGGCGACGGGCCCGAGCCCUGGAUUCGCGCCGCGGAUUCGCCUUGGCUCGGCCGCGCGUAUGCUUCCCUUCCUCCAUGAUCUCCAACACUGAUAAAGUAGAAGCAACUGAGGUACCGUGAAAGAGAAAAGGAACUGGAACUAAGAAAAAGCAAGAGAGCACCCUGAGAUGGUAUGACAAGAGAUUUGACAUAAUUGGAGCUAUCAAGGAAGACGUCUGUUACAAAGUGACAUUUUAGCAACUUUAAGGAGCAGGAUUUGGCCAAAUGAAGAGUGGAGGGUGGGGUGUUCCAUACAGAGGAACAGCAUGUGAGAAGGCUCUGACAGAAAAGAGCUUGGGGGAGUCUCAGAAAGUGGAAGGCCAAUGUGGGAGACAAAGAGGAGCCUGGAAGAGGCAAAUCUUACCUUGUGGACCAUGGUAAGAGUUUCUUCAUCUUAAGAGAAGGAGGAUGCCUUCAAAGACUUUAAAUAGGGGAACUUUAAAAACUUGCCCUCGGGCUGGGUGCGGUGGCUCAUGCCUGUAAUCCUAGCACUCUGGGAGGUCG
This is a long non-coding RNA of Propithecus coquereli (Coquerel's sifaka), 569 nucleotides long. RefSeq lists it as uncharacterized. The record is from RefSeq and is a predicted model, not a curated record. The transcript has 3 exons. Lineage: Eukaryota; Metazoa; Chordata; Mammalia; Primates; Indriidae.